ACUCCUACGGGAGGCAGCAGUGGGGAAUAUUGGACAAUGGGCGCAAGCCUGAUCCAGCCAUGCCGCGUGAGUGAUGAAGGCCCUCGGGUUGUAAAGCUCUUUCACCGGUGAAGAUAAUGACGGUAACCGGAGAAGAAGCCCCGGCUAACUUCGUGCCAGCAGCCGCGGUAAUACGAAGGGGGCUAGCGUUGUUCGGAUUUACUGGGCGUAAAGCGCACGUAGGCGGACUAUUAAGUCAGGGGUGAAAUCCCGGGGCUCAACCCCGGAACUGCCUUUGAUACUGGUAGUCUUGAGUUCGAGAGAGGUGAGUGGAAUUCCGAGUGUAGAGGUGAAAUUCGUAGAUAUUCGGAGGAACACCAGUGGCGAAGGCGGCUCACUGGCUCGAUACUGACGCUGAGGUGCGAAAGCGUGGGGAGCAAACAGGAUUAGAUACCCCGGUAGUCCCAU
RNAcentral lists this ribosomal RNA (447 nucleotides) under uncultured organism. RNAcentral's name for it is "partial 16S ribosomal RNA". It matches the Rfam family "Bacterial small subunit ribosomal RNA", at positions 335 to 798 of the family's 1533-position model. The record is from RNAcentral.